UACGUAGGGUGCAAGCGUUGUCCGGAAUUAUUAGGCGUAAAGAGCUCGUAGGCGGUCUGUCGCGUCUGCUGUGAAAACUCGGGGCUUAACCCCGGGCCUGCAGUGGGUACGGGCAGACUAGAGUGCGGUAGGGGAGACUGGAAUUCCUGGUGUAGCGGUGAAAUGCGCAGAUAUCAGGAGGAACACCGGUGGCGAAGGCGGGUCUCUGGGCCGUUACUGACGCUGAGGAGCGAAAGCGUGGGGAGCGAACAGG
RNAcentral lists this ribosomal RNA (253 nucleotides) under uncultured bacterium. RNAcentral describes it as "partial 16S ribosomal RNA". It matches the Rfam family "Bacterial small subunit ribosomal RNA", at positions 524 to 776 of the family's 1533-position model. The record is from RNAcentral.